AUUAUUUGACGUUAGCGACAGAAGAAGCACCGGCUAACUCCGUGCCAGCAGCCGCGGUAAUACGGAGGGUGCGAGCGUUAAUCGGAAUUACUGGGCGUAAAGCGCAUGCAGGUGGUUUGUUAAGUCAGAUGUGAAAGCCCGGGGCUCAACCUCGGAAUAGCAUUUGAAACUGGCAGACUAGAGUACUGUAGAGGGGGGUAGAAUUUCAGGUGUAGCGGUGAAAUGCGUAGAGAUCUGAAGGAAUACCGGUGGCGAAGGCGGCCCCCUGGACAGAUACUGACACUCAGAUGCGAAAGCGUGGGGAGCAAACAGGAUUAGAUACCCUGGUAGUCCACGCCGUAAACGAUGUCUACUUGGAGGUUGUGGCCUUGAGCCGUGGCUUUCGGAGCUAACGCGUUAAGUAGACCGCCUGGGGAGUACGGUCGCAAGAUUAAAACUCAAAUGAAUUGACGGGGGCCCGCACAAGCGGUGGAGCAUGUGGUUUAAUUCGAUGCAACGCGAAGAACCUUACCUACUCUUGACAUCCAGAGAACUUUCCAGAGAUGGAUUGGUGCCUUCGGGAACUCUGAGACAGGUGCUGCAUGGCUGUCGUCAGCUCGUGUUGUGAAAUGUUGGGUUAAGUCCCGCAACGAGCGCAACCCUUAUCCUUGUUUGCCAGCGAGUAAUGUCGGGAACUCCAGGGAGACUGCCGGUGAUAAACCGGAGGAAGGUGGGGACGACGUCAAGUCAUCAUGGCCCUUACGAGUAGGGCUACACACGUGCUACAAUGGCGCAUACAGAGGGCAGCAAGCUAGCGAUAGUGAGCGAAUCCCAAAAAGUGCGUCGUAGUCCGGAUUGGAGUCUGCAACUCGACUCCAUGAAGUCGGAAUCGCUAGUAAUCGUGGAUCAGAAUGCCACGGUGAAUACGUUCCCGGGCCUUGUACACACCGCCCGUCACACCAUGGGAGUGGGCUGCAAAAGAAGUAGGUAGUUUAACCUUCGGGAGGACGCUA
This 992-nucleotide ribosomal RNA is filed under the name Vibrio sp. PaD3.30. RNAcentral's name for it is "bacterial SSU rRNA". It matches the Rfam family "Bacterial small subunit ribosomal RNA", at positions 464 to 1455 of the family's 1533-position model. Lineage: Bacteria; Pseudomonadati; Pseudomonadota; Gammaproteobacteria; Vibrionales; Vibrionaceae. The record is from RNAcentral. RNAcentral also lists the same sequence under 1 other name.